RNAcentral lists this ribosomal RNA (735 nucleotides) under uncultured Corticiales. RNAcentral describes it as "eukaryotic LSU rRNA". The stretch from base 200 to 353 matches the Rfam family "5.8S ribosomal RNA". The record is from RNAcentral. Lineage: Eukaryota; Fungi; Basidiomycota; Agaricomycetes.
CGGAAGGAUCAUUAACGAGUUUUGAAAGGGGUUGUAGCUGGCCUUCCGGGGCAUGUGCACGCCCCGCUCAUCCACUCUGCACCUGUGCACUUACUGUAGGCUUUGAAAGCCGUGCUUCUAGCGCGGUGAUCGAGCCUACGUUUUACUACAAACUCUUCAGUAUUAGAAUGUUUAUUACGAUGUUAACGCAUCUAUAUACAACUUUCAGCAACGGAUCUCUUGGCUCUCGCAUCGAUGAAGAACGCAGCGAAAUGCGAUAAGUAAUGUGAAUUGCAGAAUUCAGUGAAUCAUCGAAUCUUUGAACGCACCUUGCGCUCCUUGGUAUUCCGAGGAGCAUGCCUGUUUGAGUGUCGUGAAAUUCUCAAUCUACAAGCCUUUGCGGGCUUAUAGACUUGGACUUGGAGGCUUGCCGGCUUUAAACCGUCGGCUCCUCUUAAAUGCAUUAGCUCGAUUCCUUGCGGAUUGGCUCUCGGUGUGAUAAUUGUCUACGCCGUGACCGUGAAGCGUUUGGCGGGCUUCUAACCGUCUCAUUAGAGACAACUUCAUUGACAUCUGACCUCAAAUCAGGUAGGACUACCCGCUGAACUUAAGCAUAUCAAUAAGCGGAGGAAAAGAAACUAACAAGGAUUCCCCUAGUAACUGCGAGUGAAGCGGGAAAAGCUCAAAUUUAAAAUCUGGCGGUCUUUGGCCGUCCGAGUUGUAGUCUGGAGAAGUGCUUUCUGCGCUGGACCGUGU